AAAGCAGAUCGGAUGAUCGCUGGUUGUCCCGCUUAAGUUUUUAGGGAAACCAGAGGAAAGUCCGAACUCCGAGGGCAGGGUGCUUCGUAACACGAAGUGGGGGGGACCCCAAGGAAAGUGCCACAGAAAAUAUACCGUCUUAUCUAAGCUCUUUUUGAGUUAAGAUAAGAUAAGGGUGAAAAGGGGAGGUAAGAGCUCACCGCUUCAGAGGUGACUUUGAAGGCAUGGCAAACCCCACCUGGAGCAAGACCAAAUAGGAAAGCAUAUCUGAGCCGCCCUCUCAGCGCUUUCGGGUAGGUCGCAUAAGGUGUCUGGUGACAGGCAUCUUUAGAUUAAUGAUCAUCUCCUCAAACUCCUUGAGAUUUGAGGAACAGAAUUCGGCUUAUAGAUCUGCUUUGAUU
This 401-nucleotide RNase P RNA is filed under the name Pseudomonadota bacterium. Its description in RNAcentral is "Proteobacteria bacterium (hot springs metagenome) RNase P RNA component class A". It matches the Rfam family "Bacterial RNase P class A". From Rfam's summary of the family: Ribonuclease P (RNase P) is a ubiquitous endoribonuclease, found in archaea, bacteria and eukarya as well as chloroplasts and mitochondria. Its best characterised activity is the generation of mature 5'-ends of tRNAs by cleaving the 5'-leader elements of precursor-tRNAs. Cellular RNase Ps are ribonucleoproteins. Lineage: Bacteria; Pseudomonadati; Pseudomonadota. The record is from RNAcentral.